Molecule: ribosomal RNA, 253 nt
Filed under: uncultured bacterium
Lineage: Bacteria
Description: partial 16S ribosomal RNA
Rfam family: Bacterial small subunit ribosomal RNA
Source: RNAcentral
GACGGGGGGUCCUAGCGUUGUUCGGAAUCAUUGGGCGUAAAGGGGGCGUAGGUGGCUAUGCAAGUCAGGAGUGAAAGCCCUGGGCUUAACCCAGGAAGUGCUUUUGAAACUGCAUAGCUUGAGUGUGGGAGAGGAUAGUGGAAUUCCUGGUGUAGUGGUGAAAUACGUAGAUAUCAGGAGGAACACCGGUGGCGAAGGCGGCUAUCUGGCCCAACACUGACACUGAGGCCCGAAAGCGUGGGGAUCAAACAGG